Molecule: ribosomal RNA, 252 nt
Filed under: uncultured bacterium
Lineage: Bacteria
Description: partial 16S ribosomal RNA
Rfam family: Bacterial small subunit ribosomal RNA
Source: RNAcentral
UACGUAGGCAGCGAGCGUUGUUCGGAGUUACUGGGCGUAAAGGGUGCGUAGGCGGUUGUUUAAGUUUGGUGUGAAAUCUCCCGGCUCAACUGGGAGGUGCGCCGAAUACUGAAUGACUAGAGUGCGGGAGAGGAUAGUGGAAUUCCUGGUGUAGCGGUGAAAUGCGUAGAUAUCAGGAGGAACACCGGUGGUGUAGACGGCUAUCUGGACCGUAACUGACGCUGAGGCACGAAAGCGUGGGUAGCAAACAGG